GACGAACGCUGGCGGCGUGCCUAAUACAUGCAAGUCGAGCGAAGUUUUUCUGGUGCUUGCACUAGAAAAAAUUAGCGGCGAACGGGUGAGUAACACGUAAAGAACCUGCCUCAUAGACUGGGACAACUAUUGGAAACGAUAGCUAAUACCGGAUAACAGUAUUUCUCGCAUGAGAGAUAUUUAAAAGUUGGUUAUGCUAAAACUAUGAGAUGGCUUUGCGGUGCAUUAGCUAGUUGGCGGGGGAAAGGCCCACCAAGGCGACGAUGCAUAGCCGACCUGAGAGGGUGAUCGGCCACACUGGGACUGAGACACGGCCCAGACUCCUACGGGAGGCAGCAGUAGGGAAUCUUCCGCAAUGGGCGAAAGCCUGACGGAGCAACGCCGCGUGAGUGAAGAAGGAUUUCGGUUCGUAAAGCUCUGUUGUUAGGGAAGAAUGGAUAUGUAGUAACUAUACAUGUAAGAGACGGUACCUAACCAGAAAGCCACGGCUAACUACGUG
This 499-nucleotide ribosomal RNA is filed under the name uncultured bacterium. RNAcentral's name for it is "partial 16S ribosomal RNA". It matches the Rfam family "Bacterial small subunit ribosomal RNA", at positions 28 to 507 of the family's 1533-position model. The record is from RNAcentral.